This 220-nucleotide ribosomal RNA is filed under the name uncultured bacterium. Its description in RNAcentral is "partial 16S ribosomal RNA". It matches the Rfam family "Bacterial small subunit ribosomal RNA", at positions 57 to 305 of the family's 1533-position model. The record is from RNAcentral.
GCAAGUCGAGCGCGCCCUUCGGGGUGAGCGGCGGACGGGUGAGUAACGCGUGGGAAUAUGCCCUUCUCUAAGGAAUAGCCUCUGGAAACGGAGAGUAAUACCUUAUACGCCCUUCGGGGGAAAGAUUUAUCGGAUUUGGAUCAGCCCGCGUUAGAUUAGAUAGUUGGUAGGGUAAUGGCCUACCAAGGCAACGAUCCGUAGCUGGUCUGAGAGGACGACC